GACGAACCGUGCGAACGUUGUUCGGAAUCACUGGGCUUAAAGGGCGCGUAGGCGGGCUGCUAAGUCUGGGGUGAAAUCCCACGGCUCAACCGUGGAACUGCCUCGGAUACUGGCGGCCUCGAGGGAGGUAGGGGCGUGCGGAACUGUGGGUGGAGCGGUGAAAUGCGUUGAUAUCCACAGGAACUCCGGUGGCGAAGGCGGCACGCUGGACCUUUUCUGACGCUGAGGCGCGAAAGCCAGGGGAGCAAACGGG
This 253-nucleotide ribosomal RNA is filed under the name uncultured bacterium. RNAcentral describes it as "partial 16S ribosomal RNA". It matches the Rfam family "Bacterial small subunit ribosomal RNA", at positions 524 to 776 of the family's 1533-position model. The record is from RNAcentral.